UUGAACGCUGGCGGCAGGCCUAACACAUGCAAGUCGAGCGGAUGAAGGGAGCUUGCUCCUGGAUUCAGCGGCGGACGGGUGAGUAAUGCCUAGGAAUCUGCCUGGUAGUGGGGGAUAACGUCCGGAAACGGGCGCUAAUACCGCAUACGUCCUGAGGGAGAAAGUGGGGGAUCCUCGGACCUCACGCUAUCAGAUGAGCCUAGGUCGGAUUAGCUAGUUGGUGGGGUAAAGGCCUACCAAGGCGACGAUCCGUAACUGGUCUGAGAGGAUGAUCAGUCACACUGGAACUGAGACACGGUCCAGACUCCUACGGGAGGCAGCAGUGGUGAAUAUUGGACAAUGGGCGAAAGCCUGAUCCAGCCAUGCCGCGUGUGUGAAGAAGGUCUUCGGAUUGUAAAGCACUUUAAGUUGGGAGGAAGGGCAGUAAGUUAAUACCUUGCUGUUUUGACGUUACCAACAGAAUAAGCACCGGCUAACUUCGUG
This 483-nucleotide ribosomal RNA is filed under the name uncultured bacterium. Its description in RNAcentral is "partial 16S ribosomal RNA". It matches the Rfam family "Bacterial small subunit ribosomal RNA", at positions 30 to 507 of the family's 1533-position model. The record is from RNAcentral.